Molecule: RNA transcript, 2283 nt
Organism: Haplochromis burtoni (Burton's mouthbrooder)
Lineage: Eukaryota; Metazoa; Chordata; Actinopteri; Cichliformes; Cichlidae
Exons: 13
Source: RefSeq, a predicted model, not a curated record
GAAACCAAACCACUGGAAUCAGCUGUAGUGUACACUCUCUAGAGACAGCCUUAGGGGAGCGUCAUUAUCGGUACUUUAGCUCCACCUAGCAUUUCCCAUGUACGCGCUAAAUUGCAUUAGCUGAAGCCCAGAAACGAAAGUGUAAGCCAUCCGUUUCAGUGAAACUAUCCGCCGGCUUCGGUCCUCGAUCGCAAGUAAAUACAGCGAUUUAACGAAACUAUUUUUUUCAAGUUUUAAUCUGGAAGUGGCUUUUUAAGACCGACUGAUUGUGUUAUUUUCUGCUUUCAUUCUGUCACAGUGGAUUUUUAUUAUGAGAUGACGGACAAUAAUGAGGAGGAGCAGAUUCCCCAGAACACCCCAGUCAAUGGGAAGUAUUAUGAGUGGCAGCUGUCAGUUGGCCAUCAGUGGCUGAAAAUUGAAAAUGACCAUGUGAUUGAGACCCACUACUGCCAACCAGGAGCCAAGGGAAUCAGUAUCAAUACAAGCCAUGGGGUGGUGUUCAUAGAUUUUGAUACGUUACAGGCUAAUAAUCCAGGUAUAAAGGUGCAGAGACUAAGCUUCCUUCCUCGGGGGCAGGUGGAAGACAUAGGCUGGUACUUCAGAGAUGACCAGCUGUGGUGUGAAUAUGGAACACAGGGUUCCAACACCAUGUCAUCAUCAGUCAGCAGUAGACAAGUUGAACAGCAGUUCACCACGAACCCUCAGGGAACCUUCAGAUUUACAGUGGGCCAUACACCCUACUUGAUUGAUUUCUCCACCAUGACGCAGAAAAACAUCACCACAGGCUUACAAAGGAAGCUGCGCAGGCGUCCAAAAUUAUCCUCCAACACUGGAGCAGUUGGCUUGACCUCAGACUUGCCUGCAGCUUCCUCCUCGCAGACCGGUUCUGUGGGCUACAGGUGGGAAUUCAUGGGAGUCAGAGAGCAAUGGACAGAAUACCAAGCACAUAUAUGUUCAUUUGACAGCGCUGCUAUUGAGAGACAGUACCAGCUGAACAAACAGGGCACACUGAACUUCAAGAUUAACAGAUAUUCAUACACACUGGACUUUUCAGGUAUGUACCAAGUCAAUAACAAUUUAGGGACAAGAAGAUCAGUUAGAAGGACUCCUAUAUAUGGUGUUCAGCAGAACAUCAGUUCAGGCCCUCAGCCACAAUGGCAGUUCCUAGAUAUGGAUGGAUCAUGGAAAGAUUAUUCCAAACCGUCCAUCAAUCUUCUGCCAGGUCUGGGUCAUGGGGACAGAGAUGCUCAGACCUACCACUCCUCGCCUCCUCCUCUGCCUGAAAGUCAUGGCCUUGAAGUUGGAGAUGCUAAUUAUCAUUCCGGCUGCUACUACACACUCUGCUACAAACCAUCUCGAGAAUAUGCAGCACAUCCAGUCAGGAGAUUGAGUUCCAGUACAAACUAAACCCAUCAGGAACUAUGACAUUUUCCACCAGGAACUUUAGCUAUGAGUUAAGCUUCUCAGCCAUGACUCAGAGAAACCUGAGCACGGGCACAACCAGAACGGUGAGAAGACUUAAUCAGUGACUGAGCGGACAACAGAUUUGUAGGUCGGGGGUCAACUUAAUGAUGAUCCUACCAGUUGUGUCACUGCCCACCUCAGGUUGGCUCUCCUGUCAGAAACUGCCUCCUGCCUUCCUCCUGCCUUUAACUUAACACAACUGAUAGACAUUUACUUUGUGCCCUCCGAAGAUAUGUUGUUUUUAAUGCAAGCGUUAUAAAUUUUUUUUUUCCACAUUUUAAGAUGACACUACGUUUAGUGUUAAGCAGUAAAAUGUAUUUCCUUUAUCAGUUUUCUACAUUUCUGGGUUUAGGGCUGGUUUUAGCAGAUUAUUCCAUAUUUAAAUAAGUGGAAUCAUUUACAAAUAAAUCAGUGGGAGGAAAAAAAAAAAACUUGAGUUUACUUUAAGCCUUUUGUUAACUUAACUAUGGUUUCAUAAAAUGCAACAUGCUUUAGUAAAUCUUCAAAUAUUCACAAGUUGUUGUAAUGACUGGAAUUUUUAAAAGUUUUCCCUUUUUAUCCUUUGUCCUUAGCAUGCAUGUUUUUAAGAAUUUAUUAAAAGUGCCUUUUAAUCAGUGCACUUUGCUUGUGUUUACUUUCCUUAAUUGAGGUUCCUUACAUUUACAUUCCAAAAUCUAAAUUCGUGUUUUAAAGUCAUCAAAGAAAUAACCACCAUAUAUGGUGUACAGAUGUGUAUAUGUACAAAUCUUCAACCUAAGAAACCAGCACUGUGACACAUAAAACAAAGCCAUAUUACACAUGCAGGACAGCAGCUGUAUA